This 450-nucleotide ribosomal RNA is filed under the name uncultured Glomeromycotina. Its description in RNAcentral is "SSU rRNA". It matches the Rfam family "Eukaryotic small subunit ribosomal RNA", at positions 569 to 1025 of the family's 1831-position model. The record is from RNAcentral. Lineage: Eukaryota; Fungi; Glomeromycota.
AGCAGCCGCGGUAAUUCCAGCUCCAAUAGCGUAUAUUAAAGUUGCUGCAGUUAAAAAGCUCGUAGUUGAAUUUCGGAACCAAUAUGUUGGUUGUGCCUCGGUACGUACUGGCAUUGUUGGUUUCUCCCUUCUGACGAACUAUGAUGUCAUUAAUUUGGUGUCGUGGGAAAUCAGGACUGUUACUUUGAAAAAUUAGAGUGUUUAAAGCAGGCUCACGCUUGAAUACAUUAGCAUGGAAUAAUGAAAUAGGACGUUUGAUUCUAUUUUGUUGGUUUCUAGGAUCGACGUAAUGAUUAAUAGGGAUAGUUGGGGGCAUUAGUAUUCAAUUGUCAGAGGUGAAAUUCUUGGAUUUAUUGAAGACUAACUACUGCGAAAGCAUUUGCCAAGGAUGUUUUCAUUAAUCAAGAACGAAAGUUAGGGGAUCGAAGACGAUCAGAUACCGUCGUAGUC